CCAAAUGGCUCCCUUCUCCUCUCAAAUCUGCUACUUCCAACUCGAGCCAAACUCGCCGGAAAACUUAGAAAAAACCGGCGAGUGCGCUAAGCCGAGUUUCACGGUCCCCCCUCUCAUCUUCUCCUUCUUCCACGUCAUCCCUUCCGUACUAAAUCUCAUGAUUCCUUAAAUCGAUUCACGUGUUCUCUUUAUUCGUUCUAUUUUUGUUGAGGCAAUUUCGGACCCUUGAACAAAUCUUGGAAGAAUGGGAAUCGUUGGAUGAAGAUUUUUGUCCAAAGUUUCUAUUUUUUUUUUUGUUUGUCAAAAGGGAUUUUCGGAUUUUGUUUUGGGGUCCACACAGUUUUGGGCGUUACUUGGAGAAGAGGAGAAGAAGAUUCAAGAGGGGCUAUAUAUUUGGGAUUUUCGGACAUAAAGGGAGAAAAAAAAGGUUCGGAAAGAAGCUAGGGUUGAAAAAAAAUUCUCCUUCUGUCUUCAUUUGGAAUUUUUCAGAUUUUUUGACUUAGUUUAAUUUCAAAAAUAUAAAUACAAACGAAAAAGAAAAAAAAAAUUAUGUUUCUCCUUCUGAUUUAGGAUUUUGGUUAUCACUAUGGAAUUUAGCUGAGUUGAGGUGCCGAUUUGAGUUGUCGUCCGUAGUCCGAGCUCGCAGUUCUCGCCUCACUCUUGCUUCUGUUGUUUGCAACUUUUGGUUCGAGUUCUCGCCGCUCUGUAAUUUUUGAAGAUUUGAAUAUACUGCAAAGCGAUUUCAGGUCCAUUUCCUUUCUCCUUAUCUUGUUGUUUGGUCUGAUUGUUAGUAUGAUAAGAGUUUUUGGUUUGAAAUGGGUUUAAUGGUUUAAAAUUCGAUGAAGUUUUUGCUAAAAAGGGAGAUGGACAUGAAAUGAUUUCAGUUGAGGCUAUUAAUUCUGAAUGAAGUAUAGAGUUCAUUGCUUGGUUUAAUGGUUUGCUUGAUGUUUUCUAUACCAAUAUUUCUUGUCUUUUCCUGUAUGAAUCUUAAUUAAACUAUUAGGUUUGGUUUAGAUUGUUUCACUUUCAUGUUCUGUUAGAAUUCAUGAGUGAUAUUUCUAUGUUAGUCUCAAAUGGCUCUUGCUAUAAAAUCCUCAUGAAGCAGCGCCAUUAGUUUUAAGUUUUAUGUUCUCAGAUUGACAAAAACAGGUUGAUUCAUAUGAUGUUAAUCUUGGGUUUUGAAUGAACUGUGAUUAAACUUGAAAUAUUCUGAUUAUUUAAGUUUAUGCCAAUCAUUUAGAAGACAUUAAGUUUGAAAUUGGAGCUAGUUUGUAUAAAAGGUUAAUCUAUUUUGGAAAAAUAUCAUGUUAAUGGUUAGAAACUGUUUGCUAUGUGAAAGCAGCGUGUUAAUGUCACUGUUGGUUGGAGUGAAUGGAAGUUUCCAAGAAAUGUAUCUCUAUCUUAACUCAAGUAUAAUAAUGUGAUUCAUGAAGGGUUAUUCACUUUUGUUCUUUUAUGAGUCAUUGGAGUGUAUCGUUUGUUCCAAAAAUGGAUAAUGAAUUGUGAAAGACUGUUGUUUCAGUGGCAGUGUACAUUGAUUUGUCUAGGGCUUUUGGAUUAGGAGAAUGGGCGUAUGGGGGUUAACAUAGCACGAUUGAAAUUUUAAUAUAGCUCUUAUCAUUUUUUGGUCCUCUUGCUUUAUCUUUUAAUUCCCUAGUAUUCUUGGUUUGGUCGUUUCCAUGUUACUAGUAGUAUGUGUCAUUUGGAUAAUUAUUUUGUUUGACGUUUCCUUGUCAUUAUUUGGUGUGGGAAAUUCGAUUAAGUAGAUGAACGGGGCUAUGGGGAUGGAAAAAGCCAAACAUAAUUAAAUUGUUACAUGCCUUAGUUUUCUCUUAUUUAUUUGCUUUAUUCGCUAGGAGCAUGCUUAGAUCGACUACAUUUGGGUAGGCAAGCCUUAGGAUUUUUAUUGGGUUCGAGGUGAGAGGUCGUUCCCUUAGUUAAAUUUAUCCGGGGUAUGCCCCGAGGUAUUUGUAUAUAUUUUAUUCCGGGAAAUGCCCUGUAGAACUUUGUAAUGGGAGGUCUAAAGUAGAACUUGUAGUAUUUUAUUCUUAUUUUAUGUUUUCUUUUAUUAGGUGGGGGACGACUUCGAGCCUCAUGUGUGUUUAUUUUGCUUUUCCGUGAUUUUACCUCAACUUGAAUACUUUAAAAACCGACUAGAUCGAGUAUGCAACCGCACUAGUUGCGGGACUUGGGGAGUGUCUGACACCUUCUCCCCGAGUCAAAUGAACUCCCUUACUCGAAUUUUUGGUGCGAACUUGGUUGUAGAGUCUGAAAUGUUUUAAAAGGAAAAAUUAUUUUAAAAAACGGUGAUCUGGCACAUCGAAAUCAAAGUCAGGUGGCGACUCUGAGUUAUUUCCUUUUGAACAAAUUUGUCACUUUCUAAUUGAAAAUCCUUUUGAGCUUUACAAAUCUUUUAUUAAUUUAAGAGGGUUAGUGAGGUUAUAAAAAGGGGUGUGACAGCUCUGGUGACUCUGCUGGGGAGUUACAGGUUCGAUCUGAUACUUGAUUUUGUUGGCUUUUUAGAAUAUUCAGUUGUGGUUUUUUAUGUUUUCUUUAUUUACUUUAUUUGAUUUAUUUUGUUUAUGUCGCUUUAUUUGCUAGUUAUUUUAUGUGUUUACAGUUUUUCCUUUAUGUGUUACUGCUUUAUAAUUGUUAUCAUAUACAUUACUCGGUCAAUUCUUUCUGCAGCAAGUCUCAGAGUACGCGUCGCGUACAUGAACUCUUUGUUGAGUCACCCUUAUUUUAGGAGGGGGGCCGUUAGACGUAUGGAGUAGGUGGAAAGCUUGAGUAGCCACCAUCGACCAUAUGCUUUCCCGAAUUGCCUUGUUAGUGAACCCCAAACUUAGGUUAGCCUUUAGGUCAUUCUUAUUUGCAUCAUGUCAUUCAAACCUAGCAGGGCUCGGUCCUAGGCACCGUGUCCCAUCGUAGGAUGCCUAUCCAAAUUAUGUCAAAAAUGGGCCCGUGGCCCAAAAUAAUAUUGUGCUAAAUAUUGUAUCUACGAGGGUAGUAAGGUCAUUUGGCG
Molecule: long non-coding RNA, 3022 nt
Filed under: Nicotiana tabacum (common tobacco)
Lineage: Eukaryota; Viridiplantae; Streptophyta; Magnoliopsida; Solanales; Solanaceae
Description: long non-coding RNA (NTAB_LNC002423)
Source: RNAcentral